RNAcentral lists this ribosomal RNA (460 nucleotides) under uncultured bacterium. RNAcentral's name for it is "partial 16S ribosomal RNA". It matches the Rfam family "Bacterial small subunit ribosomal RNA", at positions 338 to 795 of the family's 1533-position model. The record is from RNAcentral.
CCUACGGGAGGCAGCAGUGAGGAAUAUUGGUCAAUGGACGAGAGUCUGAACCAGCCAAGUAGCGUGAAGGAUGACUGCCCUAUGGGUUGUAAACUUCUUUUAUAUGGGAAUAAAACGUUCCACGUGUGGGUUUUUGUAUGUACCAUAUGAAUAAGGAUCGGCUAACUCCGUGCCAGCAGCCGCGGUAAUACGGAGGAUCCGAGCGUUAUCCGGAUUUAUUGGGUUUAAAGGGAGCGUAGGUGGAUUGUUAAGUCAGUUGUGAAAGUUUGCGGCUCAACCGUAAAAUUGCAGUUGAUACUGGCAGUCUUGAGUACAGUAGAGGUAGGCGGAAUUCGUGGUGUAGCGGUGAAAUGCUUAGAUAUCACGAAGAACUCCGAUUGCGAAGGCAGCUCACUGAACUGCAACUGACACUGAGGCUCGAAAGUGUGGGUAUCAAACAGGAUUAGAUACCCGUGUAGUC